RNAcentral lists this ribosomal RNA (347 nucleotides) under uncultured bacterium. RNAcentral's name for it is "bacterial SSU rRNA". It matches the Rfam family "Bacterial small subunit ribosomal RNA", at positions 72 to 422 of the family's 1533-position model. The record is from RNAcentral.
ACGCACCUUCGGGUGCUGAUCAGUGGCGAACGGGUGAGUAACACGUGGGCAACCUGCCCCUGACUCUGGGAUAACCCCUCGAAAGAGGAGCUAAUACCGGAUACCACCUCCCGCGGCAUCUCGGGAGGUCGAAAGUUUUUCGGUCAGGGAUGGGCCCGCGGCCUAUCAGCUAGUUGGUGGGGUGACGGCCCACCAAGGCGACGACGGGUAGCCGGCCUGAGAGGGCGACCGGCCACACUGGGACUGAGACACGGCCCAGACUCCUACGGGAGGCAGCAGUGGGGAAUAUUGCGCAAUGGGCGAAAGCCUGACGCAGCAACGCCGCGUGAGGGAUGACGGCCUUCGGG